Molecule: ribosomal RNA, 812 nt
Filed under: Fusarium proliferatum
Lineage: Eukaryota; Fungi; Ascomycota; Sordariomycetes; Hypocreales; Nectriaceae
Description: eukaryotic LSU rRNA
Rfam family: Eukaryotic large subunit ribosomal RNA
Source: RNAcentral
UGCCCUAGUACGGCGAGUGAAGCGGCAACAGCUCAAAUUUGAAAUCUGGCUCUCGGGCCCGAGUUGUAAUUUGUAGAGGAUACUUUUGAUGCGGUGCCUUCCGAGUUCCCUGGAACGGGACGCCAUAGAGGGUGAGAGCCCCGUCUGGUUGGAUGCCAAAUCUCUGUAAAGUUCCUUCGACGAGUCGAGUAGUUUGGGAAUGCUGCUCUAAAUGGGAGGUAUAUGUCUUCUAAAGCUAAAUACCGGCCAGAGACCGAUAGCGCACAAGUAGAGUGAUCGAAAGAUGAAAAGCACUUUGAAAAGAGAGUUAAAAAGUACGUGAAAUUGUUGAAAGGGAAGCGUUUAUGACCAGACUUGGGCUUGGUUAAUCAUCUGGGGUUCUCCCCAGUGCACUUUUCCAGUCCAGGCCAGCAUCAGUUUUCCCCGGGGGAUAAAGACUUCGGGAAUGUGGCUCUCUUCGGGGAGUGUUAUAGCCCGUUGUGUAAUACCCUGGGGGGGACUGAGGUUCGCGCAUCUGCAAGGAUGCUGGCGUAAUGGUCAUCAACGACCCGUCUUGAAACACGGACCAAGGAGUCGUCUUCGUAUGCGAGUGUUCGGGUGUCAAACCCCUACGCGUAAUGAAAGUGAACGCAGGUGAGAGCUUCGGCGCAUCAUCGACCGAUCCUGAUGUUCUCGGAUGGAUUUGAGUAAGAGCAUACGGGGCCGGACCCGAAAGAAGGUGAACUAUGCCUGUAUAGGGUGAAGCCAGAGGAAACUCUGGUGGAGGCUCGCAGCGGUUCUGACGUGCAAAUCGAUCGUCAAAUAUGGGCAUG